UUUGGGUUGAAAAUAGAAAUAAAAACAAAACUUCCCCAUAUCGUUCGACUUUGUGCAUGACUCGCGUUCAUUUGAGACGUUGUGAAUGGAGUUUGUUCACUUUGAUUAACAAAAUUGGAAUCAAGCUCACCAUCCCGUCGGAACCUCGGUUCAAAUCCCAUAUUAUCUGUACAAGCCCUGCAAGAUGCGGAACCGAACAAAGAAUCAGAUUUCCCCGGAAACUCGCUCAUAAUCUUGAGUUACCUGCUUUUGCUUCCAUUUUUGAUGUGAUGGCCAAUCAUAUACUGGAUAUUGACAAGCAAGAACAUCUACCAUUACAAUUUGCCAAGUACAAACACCAAAUAACAAAGCUCCCCGAGCAACUGAUGGAACUGCGUGGUCACCUGCUUAACCAGGAACAAUUGAAAAAUCGUAUGAAAAAGACGGAGGGAAGAAAGAACCUCAACGCAUAUAUCAAAAGACUGAAGAAUCUACCGAUGGACACCGACUGUGGUUUCUGGGUCAUGCUCAGCGCCGUCCGACAAUCCGUGAACACACUAACCACCACAGUCCUCAACCUCCGACGACGCCACUCUCAUCGGUGAACGCUUUCGACCGAAAGAGACCGUGCCUUGUUUGCCAAGCCAACGGAAUACCUCACCGUAAAGUCCAAGUUCACUUGUGACCCCGAUGACCACUGGCCCCAGAACUCUUACAUCAUUCAGUCGACCUGUCAGAAACUGUUUAUUGGAGUUAUCCAUGCAAACCAAUUUAUGCAGGUUUCUAUCUUUUCACUGUGACCUUUCAAGUUUACAUACCGAGCUCAAUAAAUCACGAAGGGAAGUGAACUCUGAGUGAUAUGCCAUUCGAGUUCCAAAGGAGAACAGCUGGGAUAACAUGAACAGUAACAGGGUGUUCCAGAAGAGUAUUACAUAAAAAUCAUAUUCAACAUCAAAUGAGCCUUACAGGGAUAUUAAAAGUGACAUGCACGGUGAAAUCGCACAUUAACAUCUGGAGAAGAAAGUUGGGUAUUUCAUCAAAAUUGUUUUCUGUGUAAUGUUUGUGAAAGAAAUAUUUUAUUCGACACCCGGGGGGG
This 1075-nucleotide long non-coding RNA is filed under the name Eptatretus burgeri (inshore hagfish). RNAcentral's name for it is "lncRNA (ENSEBUG00000017525.1)". Lineage: Eukaryota; Metazoa; Chordata; Myxini; Myxiniformes; Myxinidae. The record is from RNAcentral.